GUGUCAGCAGCCGCGGUAAUACGUAGGGUGCGAGCGUUGUCCGGAAUUACUGGGCGUAAAGAGCUCGUAGGCGGUUUGUCGCGUCGUCUGUGAAAUUCUGCAACUCAAUUGUAGGCGUGCAGGCGAUACGGGCAGACUUGAGUACUACAGGGGAGACUGGAAUUCCUGGUGUAGCGGUGAAAUGCGCAGAUAUCAGGAGGAACACCGGUGGCGAAGGCGGGUCUCUGGGUAGUAACUGACGCUGAGGAGCGAAAGCGUGGGUAGCGAACAGGAUUAGAUACCCUGGUAGUCCACGCCGUAAACGGUGGGUACUAGGUGUGGGGCUCAUUUCACGAGUUCCGUGCCGUAGCUAACGCAUUAAGUACCCCGCCUGGGGAGUACGGCCGCAAGGCUAAA
This 396-nucleotide ribosomal RNA is filed under the name uncultured bacterium. RNAcentral describes it as "bacterial SSU rRNA". It matches the Rfam family "Bacterial small subunit ribosomal RNA", at positions 505 to 898 of the family's 1533-position model. The record is from RNAcentral.